Patiria miniata (bat star) is the source of this 3831-nucleotide long non-coding RNA. RefSeq lists it as uncharacterized. The record is from RefSeq and is a predicted model, not a curated record. NCBI's taxonomy places the organism in Eukaryota, Metazoa, Echinodermata, Asteroidea, Valvatida, Asterinidae. The transcript has 3 exons.
AAGAAAUCUCAACAAAAGCCGUGUUAAAGAAUAAAGAUGUCUGCCAGCUUGUUGUGUUUCGUGUGUUGAUGAAUGGCAUGGUGUGCAAGUUCGUGUGCAUUCUGUAGAUUUCACAGAAUUAUUGAUCGCUUCUGAGUUUUUGAUUCAUAUCAAACGCACCAUAUCAUCGGAAAUAAGGCUUGCAAAGUUAUGCGUUGUGAGUUUUGGCUUCUUGACCUGCGGGAUCCGUGGCUGUAAAUAUUGUUUCACACAGGCAUUACAGUCAAGAUGCAGAACUCUGCACCAAGGAUGCCUGGUAUGGGACCAUCUGACAAAGAAUUGAAUGACUUAUUGGAUUUCAGUGCUAUGUUUUCCCCUCCAACUGGUGCCGGUGGUAAGCCAGGAGGUAAUACUGUACCCAUGAGCCACUGUGGUCCAGGAACAGUCAGACCAGUGCGACCUACAGGACCAGUACGGUCAGCAGGACCAGGUAUACCUCCAAGUCCAACUGGGCCAGCAGGUCAACCAUCUAACUAUAAACCUGGUGAGAAAUAUAUCCAUUUGUGACAUCUUUUAUCCCAUUUUUGCCAAUGCAUAAACUACAGUGAUGCUUUGGUCUUGACGCUCGCGAAAGGUGCAGUUUACACUGUAAAGCUAUGCCCUUCAGUCAACAUCCAGGAUUGAAUUUUGGGGUUGGUUUCUUUUAUGGGUACAUUUUACCUCAAUAGGGUACGCGAUUCGCUGCUACCCAGUUCCCUGAUACCCGUAAAUGCACACCACUAGAUGGGUACCCACUAACUUAGUAAUUAAGGUGGCCAAUUCAAAUUUAUAAUUCUUAGUACAGGUAGUUUUUAAAUCUGAUACGAGUACACAGUAGAACAUUUCCCAUGGUUUCUUUGGAAAUCAUUUUUAAGCUAACAGUGCGAAACAUUUCCGUGGUGUGAAAUUGCAAUUCAGUGGAUCAUAAGCAAAGGAUUAACCAUCAUUGCAUGCUGUGCUGCUGUUUCAAUCAUUGUAACUGCAAAUUCUGUUCGCAAGGCUAAAAUGACGCAAGUGGUAAACCAUAUUCUGUGAGAGGGGGGGGGGGAGGAUUCUACAAUUGGUGCCUUUUGAAGGCCAAGCACAAUGAUUGAGGAAACAUGGCCCAUUUCUAAAUCAUGGGGAUAACUGGGGGAUAAGUUUUUUGGAGAAAAUAUGAAAACAAAUUAAGUGCAAAUUUAAGGAGCACUUUCUAGGGAAAGCAUCCUUUUGGAGUUGAGAAACACUUUUGCCACAAAGUGAUAAUGGUUGGAAAUUUGCAAUUUUCUUGUAAUUACCAAUAGAAGGGAUUUCAGGUUGCAAAAGUUAGGUCCUCAAAUUCCAACUGUAGGAAUGCUGGAAGUCAUUCUAGUCACAGUUUAUUUUCAAAACGUUCUUUAAUGCUGUUUUGCACCCAUCAAGACUACCUUGACCGUCCGAUUGUACUUGUUCCCGUUUUACAUGUUUUACGUUUUACCAAUACAUGGAGUGUUCUUGACUACGGUACAUUUCCUGUUAAUGUUAAGCCCACAUUUACUCAAGCCUGUAAUUAAACUACAAGGUUAGGAAGUUUAAAACAUUCGUGAAAAUGUGCUUUCAUCUUUUACAUGGAGACUGGACUUUUAGCCUUUACCGUAACACAACAUGAGACAAGUGGAACCAGACUAAUGUACAUUUGCAGACUGCUACUUCAUCCCCAUUCAUCGCUCACUUUACUGCUGCAAGGAAACUGUGUUUUGCAAAUGAGGCUGUUUUGCACAAAAUUACGUCAUGACUAAAGUAUGUUCUUCAAAAAUGUUUCCAGUACACUCUGGGAUAAUAGAAAACCUACUUGCAAAGAUAGAGUCUAGAACUUUAAACUUGGCGACUUGAUUUUAAAGUGACUGGUAAGCAUGGCGGCUGUCAUGCAAAGUUUAGGGGCAUGUCAGGCUUGUAUUACAGGUUGGAGAGUGCAUUUACAUGUAAGAGGUCAGAAUUUCCAGUUUAAAGCUUUAGCAUUUUUUUUAAGAUUCUGUCUUCAAUCAUAGUCCCUAUAUAAUUUGAUGAUAAAUACAGGGUAUCAAGUUCAAGGAGGAGACAAGAUCUUUCAUUUGAGUGAUGUGCCAAUGAGAUGAAAUAUGGUUUAGUGGGCUUAAAUUAUGAAUUCUAUAUUUCAUGCGUUCAUACAUACGUUGCGCAGGUGCCGACCCAGAUUACAUUAGUUUAGCCGAGCAGGAAACGCCUAGGUAGGUGGGCUUUAUAUAUUAUGCUAAAAAGAUUUUUUUGUUUUAUUUGUUUCUUAAUAUAUGUAUAAACUUGUACCAAAAAUGGGCUGACAAACUGCAAUGCGAGUUACUGUAAUGCGAGUAACAAGCCUUUGUUUCUUACACAUACAUGUAGUACAUGUAUCUUUACCUGACUUUGGUCUAAAUUAUAUAUUGUCCACAUUUAUUGUAAAAAUGUUUAUUUGAUUAUUGCAGUUACAUCUAAGGAAUCUACUUAAUUAAUGACAAACACGUUAUGGCAUUUUAUUUGUGUGUAAUUUGAGUAACCACAUUUCCAAAGAGAAUCAUGCUCAAGUGAGAGAACAUAAAACUUAUUUGUUGUCAUCAGGGAAAAGCCUUGAAUAUUGGGUAUGUUAUUGUUAAUGCAAAUACCCCGGUAGAUAGUCCAACAAGCAUGAAGACUCACAAUGUAAAAGGACCCAAAGUGUAAUGAGAGAAAAUCCUUGAAUUGCCCACAUACAUUAUGAUUUAUAAUUUAUUUUAGGAUUUUUUUUCUUCAAAAACUUAGCUUGAAACUGUUCUCUUUAUAAAUCAGUUCAAAGCGCCACAUGAUGUACAUGAAAACUCUUAGCAAAUGGAGUCCUGAAGGAAUUACACAUGCAAUUUAUGUAUGUUUCCACAUACAUUUACCUCAUUAUGGUACCUUUCUUCCUUCAUUCAACGGAAUUGUUUCCUUUCUUGAAAUUCUUGUGUUAUUCCCUGCUCAAUCCAGGUACAUGCAUGUGUAUGGUGCUUUGCUCACAUUCUGCAAGCCACUUCAGCCAUGCACAAGCCGUGGCUGAUUCUAAAACUGUGGCUUAAAAACCUGAGUAGUGACAAAGCACACUUGAGGGUGUCAGCAUAUAGAUUUGCCUUUAUGUGUCUUUUUUGUCAUGUUAAUUCCUUCUUAAUGGAGGGUGAAUUGCAUCAAUUGGAUCCCAAGGCUGUCCCUUGAUUUCAAGAGCUCUGUUUUCUAUUUCACACACAUGCACAAGAUUCCACAUUUUAAGGGACGAUGUGACAAAAAUACCACUCAUUCAGAAUCAAAAUCUAAUACAAAUCUGGGGAUUUUAGACAGUUCACAUUUAUGUACCUUUGCCUACUAUACAUCCCUAACCUGCUAAAUGCAGCAGAAUGCAGUGGUGGUAAUAAGGAUGUGACUUUGCGUUUGAUAUUUUAAACAUUUAGCAAAUAUUUUCAUAAUCGUUUAAAUUAUGUUUAAACGUUUAGCCAUUCACAAAGGCUGACGCGUGCUCAUUAUGCCUGCAGACCGGUGUGAUUGACAUGAUAAAUCAACAAUGGCAGCCAUUGAAAACGUACAAACUUAAUUACGUGGGUCCCGAACGUAAUCAAGUGUUGAAGUGCUUUGAAGGUUUUGUAACUUGAAUAGCUUUGAAAAUAUUGUUAAUUAUUUGUGCUACAUGUAUGUAGGUUUAACUCAAAGGAAGACUGCGUGAACGGUGAACGUAGGUCUCUUUUAUAUAAUUAAGGUUUCGUUUGAACAUUUGUGGAAAAUUUGUGAAUUGUUUUUGUUUAAACGUGUAAACGUCUCAUCCUUAGCUGGUAACCAUAAGUUGCACACUGAGCAGUC